UGAAUUGCUAGAGUCUGCUACAGUCGGAAUAGAAACUAUGGCAACUGCCAAAGAAUCGAUGACAGGAAAAUGAUGACUGUUUGGUGAAGUUGUAAAAAUGUUUUUGGGAAAAUUAAAACAAAUUAUUUUUAUUUGAAAUGGCUAUGUGUUUAGAGAUGGCUGUUUAAUAAGGCACAACAGAUCAUAAUCUUCACAUAAAGAAAGGGCAAACGCCUUAUACCCAAGGGGUUGAGACUCCCUAGGGGUAUCUAAAAGAAAAAUUAUUAUGAUCAAUCAGCUCGACUCCCUUUGGAAAACAAAAUCAAGUAAAAAGGCGUAAAGUCCGGCCGGGCCGAACUUUGGAUACCCACCACCUCUGGUAUAUAUGUAAACCACCCUUCGUCAAAAUCCAAUGAAAAAUGCAUACCUUAUUCCCCAUAGCUGUUAUAUCGAAAUAUGUUCCAAAUUCUACCAAAUAUUUAUAAGUACAAGUCCUUGUUCAAUUGUGUAUAACAAAA
Stomoxys calcitrans (stable fly) is the source of this 497-nucleotide long non-coding RNA. RefSeq lists it as uncharacterized. The record is from RefSeq and is a predicted model, not a curated record. NCBI's taxonomy places the organism in Eukaryota, Metazoa, Arthropoda, Insecta, Diptera, Muscidae. The transcript is spliced from 2 exons.